ACGAACGCUGGCGGCGUGCUUAACACAUGCAAGUCGAACGGAAAGGCCCUUCGGGGUACUCGAGUGGCGAACGGGUGAGUAACACGUGGGCAACCUGCCCCUAGCUCUGGGAUAACUCCGGGAAACCGGUGCUAAUACCGGAUAUACACUUUUUGAGGCAUCUCUCGAAGUGGAAAGUUUUUCGGCUAGGGAUGGGCCCGCGGCCUACCAGCUUGUUGGUGGGGUAAUGGCCUACCAAGGCGACGACGGGUAGCCGGCCUGGGAGGGCGACCGGCCACACUGGGACUGAGACACGGCCCAGACUCCUACGGGAGGCAGCAGUGGGGAAUAUUGCGCAAUGGGCGAAAGCCUGACGCAGCGACGCCGCGUGAGGGAUGACGGCCUUCGGGUUGUAAACCUCUUUCAGCUCUGACGAAGCGCAAGUGACGGUAGGAGCAGAAGAAGCACCGGCCAACUACGU
Molecule: ribosomal RNA, 460 nt
Filed under: uncultured bacterium
Lineage: Bacteria
Description: bacterial SSU rRNA
Rfam family: Bacterial small subunit ribosomal RNA
Source: RNAcentral